GACGAACGCUGGCGGCGUGCCUAAUACAUGCAAGUCGAACGCUUUUUCUUUCACCGGAGCUUGCUCCACCGAAAGAAAAAGAGUGGCGAACGGGUGAGUAACACGUGGGUAACCUGCCCAUCAGAAGGGGAUAACACUUGGAAACAGGUGCUGAUACCGUAUAACACUAUUUUCCGCAUGGAAGAAAGUUGAAAGGCGCUUUCGCGUCACUGAUGGAUGGACCCGCGGUGCAUUAGCUAGUUGGUGAGGUAACGGCUCACCAAGGCAACGAUGCAUAGCCGACCUGAGAGGGUGAUCGGCCACACUGGGACUGAGACACGGCCCAGACUCCUACGGGAGGCAGCAGUAGGGAAUCUUCGGCAAUGGACGAAAGUCUGACCGAGCAACGCCGCGUGAGUGAAGAAGGUUUUCGGAUCGUAAAACUCUGUUGUUAGAGAAGAACAAGGAUGAGAGUAGA
RNAcentral lists this ribosomal RNA (457 nucleotides) under Enterococcus casseliflavus. RNAcentral describes it as "bacterial SSU rRNA". It matches the Rfam family "Bacterial small subunit ribosomal RNA", at positions 28 to 465 of the family's 1533-position model. Lineage: Bacteria; Bacillati; Bacillota; Bacilli; Lactobacillales; Enterococcaceae. The record is from RNAcentral.